Molecule: ribosomal RNA, 498 nt
Filed under: uncultured bacterium
Lineage: Bacteria
Description: partial 16S ribosomal RNA
Rfam family: Bacterial small subunit ribosomal RNA
Source: RNAcentral
GAUGAACGCUGGCGGCGUGCCUAAUACAUGCAAGUCGAACGCUUCACUUCGGUGAAGAGUGGCGAACGGGUGAGUAAUACAUAAGUAACCUGGCAUCUACAGGGGGAUAACUGAUGGAAACGUCAGCUAAGACCGCAUAGGUGUAGAGAUCGCAUGAACUCUAUAUGAAAAGUGCUACGGGACUGGUAGAUGAUGGACUUAUGGCGCAUUAGCUGGUUGGUAGGGUAACGGCCUACCAAGGCGACGAUGCGUAGCCGACCUGAGAGGGUGACCGGCCACACUGGGACUGAGACACGGCCCAGACUCCUACGGGAGGCAGCAGUAGGGAAUUUUCGGCAAUGGGGGAAACCCUGACCGAGCAACGCCGCGUGAAGGAAGAAGUAAUUCGUUAUGUAAACUUCCGUCAUAGAGGAAGAACGGUGGAUAUAGGGAAUGAUAUCCAAGCGACGGUACUCUAUAAGAAAGCCACGGCUAACUACGUGCCAGCCGCCGCGGUAA